RNAcentral lists this long non-coding RNA (868 nucleotides) under Homo sapiens (human). RNAcentral's name for it is "non-protein coding LINC01479:4". The record is from RNAcentral. Lineage: Eukaryota; Metazoa; Chordata; Mammalia; Primates; Hominidae.
UGAGCAAGAAGGCCAUCCACCAUGCAGUGUAAUGUCUUGCUAAGAGAAAUUAGUAUUCAGUCUGCUCAGGUUCCAGCAAGGACUUUCUUCAUGAAGAUCUUCAAGUGGAAUCAAGGCAGCCUUGCCCAUGAAGUCAUGCCUGUGGCUCCACUGAGAAAUUCGAUUAAGUAUUCCAAUACUGCUGUGAAACGAAGUGAUCUGAUUCCGGAUGAAGAAGUUACCUCAGAGAAGUCAAAUAAUUUACCCAGAGUCACAAAAUAAGCAAAUGAUGGAAUAUUCAAAUCCAGGUCUUCUGACUCUACCUCUAUCUGCCUUAGAGGUUUCUGAAGUAUUGAUAAGAUGGAGGCUGGAAGAGCUUGAAACAGACCAUAUAAAGCCAGGUCUGAGCUGGAAAAGCAAAGAGGCCCAAGGAACAGCACAGACCCUGACUGGUGGGGUAUCUGUGUAUUUUAAAUAACAAAUACAACAAAGAUUCAAGGUUCAGCAUGUACCCAGAUGUUUCCAUUAUUGAUAUAUAUAUGCCAGUUUAAAAUAUUUAAAUGGAAAACAGUUUGUGUCCACUUCAUUUUAGAACUAUGCCAGUUACAGGAAUCACCCCAGUAUCAGUUAUGUCUUACUCAUGUCAAAGAACCAGGGUCAGAAGAAAAAAAUCUCCAGUAAAGAUCCUUGCAACUCAGGAACACUCUUUCCUCUGAAUACUGCUAUGAACUAGAGUUAAAAGAAAGCAUUUUUUAAAAGAAAUGAUUUAUUCGUUCCUCAUGAUAAACAUAUCAAAACAUCACAUUGUACCACAUAAAUAUAUGCAAUUAUUUGGUUAACUGAAAAUAAAAUAAAAUUUAAAAAGAAAUAGAACGAACCUGAGUUAAAC